CCUACGGGUGGCAGCAGUAGGGAAUGUUGCGCAAUGGGCGAAAGCCUGACGCAGCAACGCCGCGUGAAGGAGAAGGACUUCGGGGAGUAAAGUUUUGUCAGUGGGGACGAAAAAUGACGGUACCCACAGAGGAAGCACCGGCUAACUCCGUGCCAGCAGCCGCGGGAAUACGGAGGGUGCAAGAGUUGUCCGGAAUCAUUGGGCGUAAAGAGUUCGUAGGCGGCAUGUAAAGUCAGGUGUUAAAGGCGCAGGCUCAACCUGUGUAUGGCACGUGAUACUUGCAAGCUGGAGUGCGGUAGAGGUAAGGGGAAUGCCUGGUGUAGCGGUGAAAUGCUUAGAUAUCAGGAGGAACAUCGGUUGCGUAGGCGCUUUACUGGGCCGUAAUUGACGCUGAGGAACGAAAGCCAGGGUAGCAAAUGGGAUUAGAUACCCUAGUAGUC
Molecule: ribosomal RNA, 440 nt
Filed under: uncultured bacterium
Lineage: Bacteria
Description: partial 16S ribosomal RNA
Rfam family: Bacterial small subunit ribosomal RNA
Source: RNAcentral